Molecule: ribosomal RNA, 497 nt
Filed under: uncultured bacterium
Lineage: Bacteria
Description: partial 16S ribosomal RNA
Rfam family: Bacterial small subunit ribosomal RNA
Source: RNAcentral
GAUGAACGCUGGCGGCGUGCCUAAUACAUGCAAGUCGAGCGAACAGACGAGGAGCUUGCUCCUCUGACGUUAGCGGCGGACGGGUGAGUAACACGUGGAUAACCUACCUAUAAGACUGGGAUAACUUCGGGAAACCGGAGCUAAUACCGGAUAAUAUAUUGAACCGCAUGGUUCAAUAGUGAAAGACGGUUUUGCUGUCACUUAUAGAUGGAUCCGCGCCGCAUUAGCUAGUUGGUAAGGUAACGGCUUACCAAGGCAACGAUGCGUAGCCGACCUGAGAGGGUGAUCGGCCACACUGGAACUGGGACACGGUCCAGACGCCUGCGGGAGGCAGCAGUAGGGAAUCUUCCGCAAUGGGCGAAAGCCUGACGGAGCAACGCCGCGUGAGUGAUGAAGGUCUUCGGAUCGUAAAACUCUGUUAUUAGGGAAGAACAAAUGUGUAAGUAACUAUGCACGUCUUGACGGUACCUAAUCAGAAAGCCACGGCUAACUACGUG